AACCUCCGCAAUGUGAGAAAUCGCGACGGGGGGAUCCCAAGUGCCAUUCUUAACGGGAUGGCUUUUCAUUAGUGUAAAGAGCUUUUGGAAUAAGAGCUGGGCAAGACCGGUGCCAGCCGCCGCGGUAACACCGGCAGCUCUAGUGGUAACAAUUUUUAUUGGGCCUAAAGCGUCCGUAGCCGGUUUAAUAAGUCUCUGGUGAAAUCCUGUAGCUUAACUGUGGGAAUUGCUGGAGAUACUAUUAGACUUGAGACCGGGAGAGGUUAGAGGUACUCCCAGGGUAGAGGUGAAAUUCUGUAAUCCUGGGAGGACCGCCUGUUGCGAAGGCGUCUAACUGGAACGGUUCUGACGGUGAGGGACGAAAGUUAGGGGCGCGAACCGGAUUAGAUACCCGGGUAGUCCUAACUGUAACGAUGCGGACUUGGUGUUGGGGUGGCUUUGAGCUGCUCCAGUGCCGAAGGGAAGCUGUUAAGUCCGCCGCCUGGGAAGUACGGUCGCAAGACUGAAACUUAAGGAAU
This 518-nucleotide ribosomal RNA is filed under the name uncultured bacterium. Its description in RNAcentral is "bacterial SSU rRNA". It matches the Rfam family "Archaeal small subunit ribosomal RNA", at positions 345 to 865 of the family's 1478-position model. The record is from RNAcentral.